Molecule: ribosomal RNA, 253 nt
Filed under: uncultured bacterium
Lineage: Bacteria
Description: partial 16S ribosomal RNA
Rfam family: Bacterial small subunit ribosomal RNA
Source: RNAcentral
UACGUAGGGCGCAAGCGUUAUCCGGAAUUAUUGGGCGUAAAGGGCUCGUAGGCGGUUUGUCGCGUCUGCCGUGAAAGUCCGGGGCUCAACUCCGGAUCUGCGGUGGGUACGGGCAGACUAGAGUGAUGUAGGGGAGACUGGAAUUCCUGGUGUAGCGGUGAAAUGCGUAGAUAUCGGGGGGAACACCAGUGGCGAAGGCGGCCCUCUGGGGUGUACCUGACGCUGAGGCGCGAAAGCAUGGGGAGCGAACAGG